RNAcentral lists this ribosomal RNA (468 nucleotides) under uncultured bacterium. RNAcentral's name for it is "partial 16S ribosomal RNA". It matches the Rfam family "Bacterial small subunit ribosomal RNA", at positions 28 to 507 of the family's 1533-position model. The record is from RNAcentral.
GACGAACGCUGGCAGCGUGCUUAACACAUGCAAGUCGAACGGAAAGGCCCUGCUUUUGUGGGGUGCUCGAGUGGCGAACGGGUGAGUAACACGUGAGUAACCUGCCCUUGACUUUGGGAUAACUUCAGGAAACUGGGGCUAAUACCGGAUAGGAGCUCCUGCUGCAUGGUGGGGGUUGGAAAGUUUCGGCGGUUGGGGAUGGACUCGCGGCUUAUCAGCUUGUUGGUGGGGUAGUGGCUUACCAAGGCUUUGACGGGUAGCCGGCCUGAGAGGGUGACCGGCCACAUUGGGGCUGAGAUACGGCCCAGACUCCUACGAGAGGCAGCAGUGGGGAAUAUUGCACAAUGGGCGGAAGCCUGAUGCAGCAACGCCGCGUGCGGGAUGACGGCCUUCGGGUUGUAAACCGCUUUCGCCUGUGACGAAGCGUGAGUGACGGUAAUGGGUAAAGAAGCACCGGCUAACUACGUG